UACGGAGGGUGCGAGCGUUGUCCGGAAUCAUUGGGCGUAAAGGGCGCGUAGGUGGCCUGGUCAGUUCGUGGUGAAAGCGCGGGGCUCAACUCCGCGUCGGCCAUGAAUACUGCUGGGCUUGAGCACUGUAGAGGCAGGCGGAAUUCCGGGUGUAGCGGUGAAAUGCGUAGAUAUCUGGAGGAACACCGGUGGCGAAGGCGGCGUCCUGGACCAACACUGACACUGAUGAGCGAAAGCCAGGGGAGCAAACGGG
RNAcentral lists this ribosomal RNA (253 nucleotides) under uncultured bacterium. RNAcentral's name for it is "partial 16S ribosomal RNA". It matches the Rfam family "Bacterial small subunit ribosomal RNA", at positions 524 to 776 of the family's 1533-position model. The record is from RNAcentral.